GGUUAGGGUUAGACUAGUGUCCUUUCCAGGGGUUUAGGGUUAGACUAGUGUCCUGUCCAGGGGGUUAGGGUUAGACUAGUGUCCUGUCCAGGGGGUUAGGGUUAGACUAGUGUCCUGUCCAGGGGGUUAGGGUUAGACUAGUGUCCUGUCCAGGGGUUAGGGUUAGACUAGUGUCCUGUCCAGGGGGUUAGGGUUAGACUAGUGUCCUGUCCAGGGGGUUAUGGUUAGACUAGUGUCCUGUCCAGGGGGUUAGGUUUAGACUAGUGUCCUGUCCAGGGGGUUAGGGUUAGACUAGUGUCCUGUCCAGGGGUUAGGGUUAGACUAGUGUCCUGUCCAGGAGGUUAGGGUUAGACUAGUGUCCUGUCCAGGGCUUAAGGGUUAGACUAGUGUCCUGUCCACGGGGUUAGGGUUAGACUAGUGUCCUGUCCAGGGCUUAGUGUUAGACUAGUGUCCUGUCCAGGAGAUUAGGGUUAGACUAGUGUCCUAUCCAGGGGGUUAGGGUUAGA
Molecule: long non-coding RNA, 506 nt
Organism: Oncorhynchus tshawytscha (Chinook salmon)
Lineage: Eukaryota; Metazoa; Chordata; Actinopteri; Salmoniformes; Salmonidae
Source: Ensembl